AGAGUUUGAUCCUGGCUCAGAUUGAACGCUGGCGGAAUGCUUUACACAUGCAAGUCGAGCGGCAGCGCGGGGGCAACCCUGGCGGCGAGCGGCGAACGGGUGAGUAAUACAUCGGAACGUACCCUAUCGUGGGGGAUAACGAAUCGAAAGAUUCGCUAAUACCGCAUAAGACCUGAGGGUGAAAGCGGGGGAUCGCAAGACCUCGCGCGAUUGGAGCGGCCGAUGUCGGAUUAGCUACUUGGUGGGGUAAAGGCUCACCAAGGCGACGAUCCGUAGCGGGUCUGAGAGGACGGCCCGCCACACUGGAACUGAGACACGGUCCAGACUCCUACGGGAGGCAGCAGUGGGGAAUUUUGGACAAUGGGCGCAAGCCUGAUCCAGCCAUUCCGCGUGAGUGAAGAAGGCCUUCGGGUUGUAAAGCUCUUUCGGCAGGAACGAAACGGUGCGGGCUAAUAUCCCGUAUCAAUGACGGUACCUGAAGAAGAAGCACCGGCUAACUACGUGCCAGCAGCCGCGGUAAUACGUAGGGUGCGAGCGUUAAUCGGAAUUACUGGGCGUAAAGCGUGCGCAGGCGGUUUUGUAAGACAGAUGUGAAAUCCCCGGGCUUAACCUGGGAACUGCGUUUGUGACUGCAAGACUUGAGUGCGGCAGAGGGGGGUGGAAUUCCACGUGUAGCAGUGAAAUGCGUAGAGAUGUGGAGGAACACCGAUGGCGAAGGCAGCCCCCUGGGUCGACACUGACGCUCAUGCACGAAAGCGUGGGGAGCAAACAGGAUUAGAUACCCUGGUAGUCCACGCCCUAAACGAUGCCAACUAGGUGUUGGGGAAGGAGACUUCCUUAGUACCGUAGCUAACGCGUGAAGUUGGCCGCCUGGGGAGUACGGUCGCAAGAUUAAAACUCAAAGGAAUUGACGGGGACCCGCACAAGCGGUGGAUGAUGUGGAUUAAUUCGAUGCAACGCGAAAAACCUUACCUACCCUUGACAUGCCAGGAAUUCUGCUGAGAGGUGGAAGUGCCCGAAAGGGAACCUGGACACAGGUGCUGCAUGGCUGUCGUCAGCUCGUGUCGUGAGAUGUUGGGUUAAGUCCCGCAACGAGCGCAACCCUUGUCGUUAAUUGCCAUCAUUAAGUUGGGCACUUUAACGAGACUGCCGGUGACAAACCGGAGGAAGGUGGGGAUGACCUCAAGUCCUCAUGGCCCUUAUGGGUAGGGCUUCACACGUCAUACAAUGGUCGGUACAGAGGGUUGCCAACCCGCGAGGGGGAGCCAAUCCCAGAAAGCCGAUCGUAGUCCGGAUCGCAGUCUGCAACUCGACUGCGUGAAGUCGGAAUCGCUAGUAAUCGUGGAUCAGCAUGCCACGGUGAAUACGUUCCCGGGUCUUG
Molecule: ribosomal RNA, 1381 nt
Filed under: metagenome
Description: bacterial SSU rRNA
Rfam family: Bacterial small subunit ribosomal RNA
Source: RNAcentral